UCGGGAAUUUUGGGCAAUGGGCGAAAGCCUGACCCAGCAACGCCGCGUGAGUGACGAAGGCCUUAGGGUUGUAAAGCUCUUUUGGCGGGGAAGAUAAUGACGGUACCCGCAGAAUAAGCUCCGGCUAACUUCGUGCCAGCAGCCGCGGUAAUACGAGGGGAGCUAGCGUUGUUCGGAAUCACUGGGCGUAAAGCGCACGUAGGUGGGCAGUUAAGUCAGGGGUGAAAGCCCGAGGCUCAACCUCGGAAUUGCCUCUGAUACUGGCUGUCUAGAGUUCGAGAGAGGUGAGUGGAAUUCCUAGUGUAGAGGUGAAAUUCGUAGAUAUUAGGAAGAACACCGGUGGCGAAGGCGGCUCACUGGCUCGAUACUGACACUGAGGUGCGAAAGCGUGGGGAGCAAACAGGAUUAGAUACCCCCGUAGUCCCUGAGCGGGCUGGCAAGGCGCAU
Molecule: ribosomal RNA, 447 nt
Filed under: uncultured bacterium
Lineage: Bacteria
Description: bacterial SSU rRNA
Rfam family: Bacterial small subunit ribosomal RNA
Source: RNAcentral